GGGUUGUGAGGUUAAGCGACUAAGCGUACACGGUGGAUGCCCGGCAGUCAGAGGCGAUGAAGGACGUGCUAAUCUGCGAUAAGCGUCGGUAAGGUGAUAUGAACCGUUAUAACCGGCGAUUUCCGAAUGGGGAAACCCAGUGUGUUUCGACACACUAUCAUUAACUGAAUCCAUAGGUUAAUGAGGCGAACCGGGGGAACUGAAACAUCUAAGUACCCCGAGGAAAAGAAAUCAACCGAGAUUCCCCCCAGUAGCGGCGAGCGAACGGGGAGCAGCCCAGAGCCUGAAUCAGUGUGUGUGUUAGUGGAAGCGUCUGGAAAGGCGCGCGAUACAGGGUGACAGCCCCGUACACAAAAAUGCACAUGCUGUGAGCUCGAUGAGUAGGGCGGGACACGUGGUAUCCUGUCUGAAUAUGGGGGACCAUCCUCCAAGGCUAAAUACUCCUGACUGACCGAUAGUGAACCAGUACCGUGAGGGAAAGGCGAAAAGAACCCCGGCGAGGGGAGUGAAAAAGAACCUGAAACCGUGUACGUACAAGCAGUGGGAGCCUCUUUAUGGGGUGACUGCGUACCUUUUGUAUAAUGGGUCAGCGACUUAUAUUCUGUAGCAAGGUUAACCGAAUAGGGGAGCCGAAGGGAAACCGAGUCUUAACUGGGCGUUAAGUUGCAGGGUAUAGACCCGAAACCCGGUGAUCUAGCCAUGGGCAGGUUGAAGGUUGGGUAACACUAACUGGAGGACCGAACCGACUAAUGUUGAAAAAUUAGCGGAUGACUUGUGGCUGGGGGUGAAAGGCCAAUCAAACCGGGAGAUAGCUGGUUCUCCCCGAAAGCUAUUUAGGUAGCGCCUCGUGAAUUCAUCUCCGGGGGUAGAGCACUGUUUCGGCAAGGGGGUCAUCCCGACUUACCAACCCGAUGCAAACUGCGAAUACCGGAGAAUGUUAUCACGGGAGACACACGGCGGGUGCUAACGUCCGUCGUGAAGAGGGAAACAACCCAGACCGCCAGCUAAGGUCCCAAAGUCAUGGUUAAGUGGGAAACGAUGUGGGAAGGCCCAGACAGCCAGGAUGUUGGCUUAGAAGCAGCCAUCAUUUAAAGAAAGCGUAAUAGCUCACUGGUCGAGUCGGCCUGCGCGGAAGAUGUAACGGGGCUAAACCAUGCACCGAAGCUGCGGCAGCGACACUAUGUGUUGUUGGGUAGGGGAGCGUUCUGUAAGCCUGUGAAGGUGUACUGUGAGGUAUGCUGGAGGUAUCAGAAGUGCGAAUGCUGACAUAAGUAACGAUAAAGCGGGUGAAAAGCCCGCUCGCCGGAAGACCAAGGGUUCCUGUCCAACGUUAAUCGGGGCAGGGUGAGUCGACCCCUAAGGCGAGGCCGAAAGGCGUAGUCGAUGGGAAACAGGUUAAUAUUCCUGUACUUGGUGUUACUGCGAAGGGGGGACGGAGAAGGCUAUGUUGGCCGGGCGACGGUUGUCCCGGUUUAAGCGUGUAGGCUGGUUUUCCGGGCAAAUCCGGAAAAUCAAGGCUGAGGCGUGAUGACGAGGCACUACGGUGCUGAAGCAACAAAUGCCCUGCUUCGGGGAAAAGCCUCUAAGCAUCAGGUAACAUCAAAUCGUACCCCAAACCGACACAGGUGGUCAGGUAGAGAAUACCAAGGCGCUUGAGAGAACUCGGGUGAAGGAACUAGGCAAAAUGGUGCCGUAACUUCGGGAGAAGGCACGCUGAUAUGUAGGUGAAGUCCCUCGCGGAUGGAGCUGAAAUCAGUCGAAGAUACCAGCUGGCUGCAACUGUUUAUUAAAAACACAGCACUGUGCAAACACGAAAGUGGACGUAUACGGUGUGACGCCUGCCCGGUGCCGGAAGGUUAAUUGAUGGGGUUAGCGGUAACGCGAAGCUCUUGAUCGAAGCCCCGGUAAACGGCGGCCGUAACUAUAACGGUCCUAAGGUAGCGAAAUUCCUUGUCGGGUAAGUUCCGACCUGCACGAAUGGCGUAAUGAUGGCCGGGCUGUCUCCACCCGAGACUCAGUGAAAUUGAACUCGCUGUGAAGAUGCAGUGUACCCGCGGCAAGACGGAAAGACCCCGUGAACCUUUACUAUAGCUUGACACUGAACAUUGAGCCUUGAUGUGUAGGAUAGGUGGGAGGCUUUGAAGUGUGGACGCCAGUCUGCAUGGAGCCGACCUUGAAAUACCACCCUUUAAUGUUUGAUGUUCUAACGUUGGCCCCUGAUCGGGGUUGCGGACAGUGUCUGGUGGGUAGUUUGACUGGGGCGGUCUCCUCCUAAAGAGUAACGGAGGAGCACGAAGGUUGGCUAAUCCUGGUCGGACAUCAGGAGGUUAGUGCAAUGGCAUAAGCCAGCUUGACUGCGAGCGUGACGGCGCGAGCAGGUGCGAAAGCAGGUCAUAGUGAUCCGGUGGUUCUGAAUGGAAGGGCCAUCGCUCAACGGAUAAAAGGUACUCCGGGGAUAACAGGCUGAUACCGCCCAAGAGUUCAUAUCGACGGCGGUGUUUGGCACCUCGAUGUCGGCUCAUCACAUCCACGGGGCUGAAGUAGGUCCCAAGGGUAUGGCUGUUCGCCAUUUAAAGUGGUACGCGAGCUGGGUUUAGAACGUCGUGAGACAGUUCGGUCCCUAUCUGCCGUGGGCGCUGGAGAACUGAGGGGGGCUGCUCCUAGUACGAGAGGACCGGAGUGGACGCAUCACUGGUGUUCGGGUUGUCAUGCCAAUGGCACUGCCCGGUAGCUAAAUGCGGAAGAGAUAAGUGCUGAAAGCAUCUAAGCACGAAACUUGCCCCGAGAUGAGUUCUCCCUGACUCCUUGAGAGUCCUGAAGGAACGUUGAAGACGACGACGUUGAUAGGCCGGGUGUGUAAGCGCAGCGAUGCGUUGAGCUAACCGGUACUAAUGAACCGUGAGGCUUAACCUUACAACGCCGAAG
Molecule: ribosomal RNA, 2925 nt
Filed under: Escherichia coli
Lineage: Bacteria; Pseudomonadati; Pseudomonadota; Gammaproteobacteria; Enterobacterales; Enterobacteriaceae
Description: 23S ribosomal RNA
Rfam family: Bacterial large subunit ribosomal RNA
Source: RNAcentral